UUUCCGUAGGUGAACCUGCGGAAGGAUCAUUAAUGAGUUGUCAUGGGGUUCGAUGCUGGCAGCCAGUUUUUGGAUGCAUGUGCUUGCCCUAACAAUCAUCUUCUUCCAAACACCUGUGCACAUUUUUGAGGGAGUCUUGAGUUGGUUGCCGCUCUUGGGUGAUUUUCUCACAUUCCCUUAAAUCAUUAUACGCUAUUAACAAUGUUGAACGUGCUCUGUGCCGCAAGGCCAUUAAUAUAAUACAACUUUUAACAACGGAUCUCUUGGCUCUCGCAUCGUGAAGAACGCAGC
Molecule: unclassified non-coding RNA, 291 nt
Filed under: plant metagenome
Description: partial contains small subunit ribosomal RNA, internal transcribed spacer 1, and 5.8S ribosomal RNA
Source: RNAcentral